This 212-nucleotide ribosomal RNA is filed under the name Salmonella enterica subsp. enterica serovar Infantis. Its description in RNAcentral is "partial 16S ribosomal RNA". It matches the Rfam family "Bacterial small subunit ribosomal RNA", at positions 871 to 1082 of the family's 1533-position model. The record is from RNAcentral. Lineage: Bacteria; Pseudomonadati; Pseudomonadota; Gammaproteobacteria; Enterobacterales; Enterobacteriaceae.
GCCUGGGGAGUACGGCCGCAAGGUUAAAACUCAAAUGAAUUGACGGGGGCCCGCACAAGCGGUGGAGCAUGUGGUUUAAUUCGAUGCAACGCGAAGAACCUUACCUGGUCUUGACAUCCACGGAAGUUUUCAGAGAUGAGAAUGUGCCUUCGGGAACCGUGAGACAGGUGCUGCAUGGCUGUCGUCAGCUCGUGUUGUGAAAUGUUGGGUUA